AGCAGCCGCGGUAAUUCCAGCUCCAAUAGCGUAUAUUAGUGUUGUUGCGGUUAAAAAGCUCGUAGUUGAAUUUCGGGAUUGGGAUAUAUCGGUCAUGCCUUUAGGGACAUGAAUCGGUGUGUGAUCAAUUCUCACCUUCUGGUGAAUUGGGAUGCUCUUGGGUGUUUCGAUGAACUAGGACAUUUACUUUGAAAAAAUUAGAGUGUUUAAAGCGGGCAUUUUUGCUUGAAUACAUUAGCAUGGAAUAAUAAAAUAGGACGAUGGUUCUAUUUUGUUGGUUUUAGGACCACGUAAUGAUUAAUAGGGAUAGUUGGGGGCAUUAGUAUUCAAUUGUCAGAGGUGAAAUUCUUGGAUUUAUUGAGGACUAACUACUGCGAAAGCAUUUGCCAAGGAUGUUUUCAUUAAUCAAGAACGAAAGUUAGGGGAUCGAAGACGAUUUAUGCACGUCGUAGUCUUAACCAUAAACUAUGCCGACUAGGAAUCAGACAAAGUUAAUUUUUUAACGACUUGUUUGGUACCUUACG
RNAcentral lists this ribosomal RNA (524 nucleotides) under uncultured Entrophosporaceae. Its description in RNAcentral is "SSU rRNA". It matches the Rfam family "Eukaryotic small subunit ribosomal RNA", at positions 569 to 1092 of the family's 1831-position model. The record is from RNAcentral. Lineage: Eukaryota; Fungi; Glomeromycota; Glomeromycetes; Entrophosporales; Entrophosporaceae.